UACGUAGGUGGCAAGCGUUGUCCGGAUUUACUGGGCGUAAAGGAUGCGUAGGCGGACAUUUAAGUCAGAUGUGAAAUACCCGAGCUUAACUUGGGUGCUGCAUUUGAAACUGGGUGUCUAGAGUGCAGGAGAGGUAAGUGGAAUUCCUAGUGUAGCGGUGAAAUGCGUAGAGAUUAGGAAGAACACCAGUGGCGAAGGCGGCUUUCUGGGACGGUACUGACGCUGAGACGCGAAAGCGUGGGGAGCGAACAGG
RNAcentral lists this ribosomal RNA (253 nucleotides) under uncultured bacterium. Its description in RNAcentral is "partial 16S ribosomal RNA". It matches the Rfam family "Bacterial small subunit ribosomal RNA", at positions 524 to 776 of the family's 1533-position model. The record is from RNAcentral.